Molecule: ribosomal RNA, 625 nt
Filed under: Micromonospora sp. Ri3Pt_4353
Lineage: Bacteria; Bacillati; Actinomycetota; Actinomycetes; Micromonosporales; Micromonosporaceae
Description: bacterial SSU rRNA
Rfam family: Bacterial small subunit ribosomal RNA
Source: RNAcentral
UGCAGCGACGCCGCGUGAGGGAUGACGGCCUAUCGGGUUGUAAACCUCUUUCAGCAGGGACGAAGCGUAAGUGACGGUACCUGCAGAAGAAGCACCGGCCAACUACGUGCCAGCAGCCGCGGUAAGACGUAGGGUGCGAGCGUUGUCCGGAUUUAUUGGGCGUAAAGAGCUCGUAGGCGGCUUGUCGCGUCGACCGUGAAAACUUGGGGCUCAACCCCAAGCCUGCGGUCGAUACGGGCAGGCUAGAGUUCGGUAGGGGAGACUGGAAUUCCUGGUGUAGCGGUGAAAUGCGCAGAUAUCAGGAGGAACACCGGUGGCGAAGGCGGGUCUCUGGGCCGAUACUGACGCUGAGGAGCGAAAGCGUGGGGAGCGAACAGGAUUAGAUACCCUGGUAGUCCACGCUGUAAACGUUGGGCGCUAGGUGUGGGGGGCCUCUCCGGUUCUCUGUGCCGCAGCUAACGCAUUAAGCGCCCCGCCUGGGGAGUACGGCCGCAAGGCUAAAACUCAAAGGAAUUGACGGGGGCCCGCACAAGCGGCGGAGCAUGCGGAUUAAUUCGAUGCAACGCGAAGAACCUUACCUGGGUUUGACAUGGCCGCAAAACUUGCAGAGAUGUAAGGUCCUUCG